This 513-nucleotide ribosomal RNA is filed under the name Tridacna crocea. RNAcentral's name for it is "partial 16S ribosomal RNA". It matches the Rfam family "Bacterial large subunit ribosomal RNA", at positions 1798 to 2624 of the family's 2925-position model. Lineage: Eukaryota; Metazoa; Mollusca; Bivalvia; Cardiida; Cardiidae. The record is from RNAcentral.
GCCUGUUUAUCAAAAACAUCUCUUCUAGUAUGAUAUUAGAAGUAGGCCCUGCCCGGUGCCUUGCGAGGUAAACGGCGGUGUUAAACCUUAAAGUAGCGUGAUAAGUCGGCCUUUAAUUGGGGUCUGGUAUGAAAGGGUUGACGUCGGAAAAACUGUCUCGGAAGAAUUAAGUGAAAUUUACUUUUAAGUGAAAAGGCUUAAAUUAAAGUAAAAGACGAGAAGACCCUGUCGAGCUUGAGGGAUUUGAAUGUUUAUCAAACGUGAUUAGGAGUUUGGCUGGGGCAGCAAUGGAGGUAGCCUCCGUUUUUAGCGCAUAGAUCCAUUUUAUCUAAGAUAAUGAAAAAAGAAAAAAGCUACCGCAGGGAUAACAGCACAAGACCGCCUCAGAGGUCGUAUCGAAGGCGGUAAGUGUGACCUCGAUGUUGGAUUAGGGUAAACCUCUUUGUGCAGGAGCAAAGCGGGUAGGACUGUUCUUCCUUUAAUCCCCUACGUGAUCUGAGUUCAAGACCGGGA